GACGAACGCUGGCGGCGUGCUUAACACAUGCAAGUCACGGGGCCGCAAGGCACCGCGAACGGUGCGUAACACGUGAGCAACCUGCCGAUCUGAGGGGGAGUAGCCGGCCCAACGGCCGGGUAAUACCGCAUACGUUCUCGAGGGGGAGUCCUCUUGGGAAGAAACCUUCGGGGCGAGAUCGAGGGGCUCGCGGCCUAUCAGCUAGUUGGCGGUGUAAUGGACCACCAAGGCUUCGACGGGAGCUGGUCUGAGAGGAUGGCCAGCCACAUUGGGACGUGAGAGACGGCCCAGACUCCUACGGGAGGCAGCAGUGGGGAAUCUUGCGCAAUGGCCGAAAGGCUGACGCAGCGACGCCGCGUGUGGGAUGAAGCAUUUCGGUGUGUAAACCACUGUUGCCCGGGACGAACAUCCUCUUUCGAGAGGACUGACGGUACC
RNAcentral lists this ribosomal RNA (435 nucleotides) under uncultured bacterium. Its description in RNAcentral is "bacterial SSU rRNA". It matches the Rfam family "Bacterial small subunit ribosomal RNA", at positions 28 to 479 of the family's 1533-position model. The record is from RNAcentral.